GGGAAGGCUGGGUUGCUGGGUGGAAACUGAAGCUGGGUGGAAAUCUGAAGCUACUGGAAGCCUAGCAGUCCUCAAGUGAAAGCUCAAACACUUUAAAUCUUACAGGGAACGGGCUCCCCAAGAAAGGGAACCUCUGAAAAGAUUUAAAGGAAGUACUCUUCAAGACAGAAGAGACAUAGAUAUUGUUUUAGGGCCCAGAAAGGAGACAGGAUUCUCCUGAAGAGGCUGGGCCAGAGCAGUGAGCCGGCCAUGUGCUUCCAGGGACUGCAAGCAUUGACAUCACCUGCAGCAGCUGCUUGCCACUUUUUCCUUCUGUUGGGCACCAGGAAUCCGGCCGUGGUGUACGCCUUCUCACGGUUUCCCGGUUCCUCAGCGACUUCCUGGCACGGAUAGACUCGGGGUCCCCAGGAGUACCACCUCCCAGCCCUCCCGCUGCCCUCCGCCUUGCCUUUCUUUCUUUCCUGCCUGGAGCUUGAGCCUGAUGUGCAAACACACACAAUCCGUCUCUUAUGGUUGCAAUAUGGUGCUUAACCAGACAGCUUCGAUUGCUGCCCUCCUGGAGCCUGCAUUCCAGAGCGAGGAGGCGACAGAAGAAAUAGGUUUCCACGUGCUGCUGAUGCUGCUGGACCAUAGUUUGAGACUACACACCCCCAUCUGGACCCUAUUAAAAUGCAUCUCUUGACCAGUCACAGGAGGAGCCUGGAAGGGGGAGGAGAAGCCAAGGGAGAGGAGAAGUCAAGACAAGUUGACCUCAAAGGUACCACGGAAAAGUAAUGAUUAACACUGCUUCAGUUUGGGGACAGUUUAUUCAACUGCGGUGAUGGAAACAAGGAGAAAGCCCUUCCUCAAACCCCUCGGCAAAAUCUGCUUUCCACUUCUGACUGAUGGUGGGAAGAAGAAAGACGCUGCGUUUGGAAGGAUUGUCAGAAUCAAAUACUUCUGAAAUCUUAAAUACUUCUCAGUGUCUGUUUUGUGAUUUUUAAAAUUUUGUUUACAAAAGCUUUUCUCUUUCCUCCCCCUCUCUCCUUUUGUCUCCUCCCUCCCUUCCUUCCUUCCUUUCAGUGAAAAGAGGAAAGGAUAACAAAAUAUUGCUCAUUUGGGAGAGGUAACAAUAGAAAGCCAGCAAAAACUGCAUCUGGAUCCACCUGGCAAUGCAGGGGAUGUGGGUUCGAUCCUUGGCUGGAGAUCUAAGAUCCCUUAUGCCACGGAGCACCGGAACCUGCACGCUGCAACCAUGGAGACUGCAUGCCACAACUAGAGAGUCUGUGUGCAGCAGUGAGUAUCUCGAGUGCUGCAACUAAGAUCUGACACAGCCAAACAAAUAAAUAAUUAAAAAGAGAGAAGAAUCUGCACCUGGGAGUAAGGGGAGAGCUUCUCCUUCCAUGACAGAGUGGAAGCCUAGAAUGUCAAAAUAAGGAGGGACCUCAGGGAUUGUCCUGACUCAUCUUCUCAAAGAAGAUAGACCCAAAGGUUGAUCUCUUGCACAGGACUCUUCAUCACAGCACUGCUGCUUUCUCUGCUCCAGGCUGGAAGCAGGCUGGACAGAGCUUGUUAGGCAAUGUCAUGAGUUUUGCUGCAGCUCUCUCUGAAGCAGGGGUGAUGUGACAUGUUUGAACCUCUGAGCUAGCGCAUCCUCUGGAUUGUGCUGAGACUUGGUCAGCUUGGGCGGACAGGGUGGUUGAGAGUUUUGCAUUCCAACUAUGUGCUGGGGUCUAAAAGUCCAUUGUUUUAUGGAAGAGACUUGGAGAUAGUAACUCAGGGGAAGAUCAAACAGAGAAGACUCCAGAUUAGGAGAAAGCCAAAACAAAGCUCAACACCAACACCACCACCAUCAACAGAAGAAAUCUCCUGAGCCAUGCAGGCCCCAGCAGCAAGCCAAGGAAGGCAAACUGGGAUUGGGGGGCCAGAGGGUAACCCAGGAUGGUGGCUAGAUGGGGUGAGUGGCUUCAGCAGCCAGAGGUCUUCCCUUAGGCCUAGGAGGUGAUACAAGCAAUUCUCCCAGGAUCACCUUGAUGAAGCAAUAAAUAAAGGUAACAAGGCGGAAGGUCACUGAAACCUGGUCUCAGCCAGUCCCGGGACACUCUUUCCUACCAUGUAAGCCAAGGGGCUGGCAGAGAAGUCUCCUCAUUCAUUCAGUUCAGUUCAGUCACUCAGUUGUGUCCACCUCUUUGCAACCUCACGGACUGUAGCACACCAGGCUUUCCUGUCUUUCACCAUCUACCAGUUUGCUCAGGCUCAUGGCCAUCGAGUUGGUGAUGCCAUCCAACCAUGUCAUCCUCUGUCGUCCCCCUUUCCUCCUGACUUCUAUCUUUCCACAGCAUUAGAUCUUUCCCACUGAGUCAGUUCUUCGCAUCAGAUGGCCGAAGUAUUGGAGCUUCAGCUUCAGCCUCAGUCCUUCCAAUGAAUAUUCAGGACUGGUUUCCUUUAGGAUUGACUGGUUUGAUCUCCUUG
Bubalus bubalis (water buffalo) is the source of this 2451-nucleotide long non-coding RNA. RefSeq lists it as uncharacterized. The transcript is spliced from 7 exons. The record is from RefSeq and is a predicted model, not a curated record. NCBI's taxonomy places the organism in Eukaryota, Metazoa, Chordata, Mammalia, Artiodactyla, Bovidae.